UACGUAGGGGGCAAGCGUUGUCCGGAAUCAUUGGGCGUAAAGAGCGCGUAGGCGGCCCGAUAAGUCCGCUGUGAAAGUCAAGGGCUUAACCCUUGAAUGCCGGUGGAAACUGUCGGGCUAGAGUCCGGAAGAGGCGAGUGGAAUUCCUGGUGUAGCGGUGAAAUGCGCAGAUAUCAGGAGGAACACCGAUGGCGAAGGCAGCUCGCUGGGACGGUACUGACGCUAAGGCGCGAAAGCGUGGGGAGCGAACAGG
This 253-nucleotide ribosomal RNA is filed under the name uncultured bacterium. Its description in RNAcentral is "partial 16S ribosomal RNA". It matches the Rfam family "Bacterial small subunit ribosomal RNA", at positions 524 to 776 of the family's 1533-position model. The record is from RNAcentral.